UGGAGCAUGUGGUUAAUUCGAAGCAACGCGAAGACCUUACCAGGUCUUGACAUCCCGAUGCUAUUUCUAGAGAUAGAAAGUUACUUCGGUACAUCGGUGACAGGUGGUGCAUGGUUGUCGUCAGCUCGUGUCGUGAGAUGUUGGGUUAAGUCCCGCAACGAGCGCAACCCCUAUUGUUAGUUGCCAUCAUUCAGUUGGGCACUCUAGCGAGACUGCCGGUAAUAAACCGGAGGAAGGUGGGGAUGACGUCAAAUCAUCAUGCCCCUUAUGACCUGGGCUACACACGUGCUACAAUGGUUGGUACAACGAGUUGCGAGUCGGUGACGGCGAGCUAAUCUCUUAAAGCCAAUCUCAGUUCGGAUUGUAGGCUGCAACUCGCCUACAUGAAGUCGGAAUCGCUAGUAAUCGCGGAUCAGCACGCCGCGGUCGAAUACGUUCCCGGGCCUU
Molecule: ribosomal RNA, 447 nt
Filed under: uncultured Streptococcus sp.
Lineage: Bacteria; Bacillati; Bacillota; Bacilli; Lactobacillales; Streptococcaceae
Description: bacterial SSU rRNA
Rfam family: Bacterial small subunit ribosomal RNA
Source: RNAcentral